CCAUUUCUUCAUUUUUUAAAAAUGUAUUCAGAAGGCUUAAGAAAUGUAAGUGACUUCACCCCAUAGACACCUCAGCCCCGGCCCUAGUCCUGGUCUGUACUGGGAAUAGGGGGACAUGG
Molecule: small nucleolar RNA, 119 nt
Filed under: Prolemur simus (greater bamboo lemur)
Lineage: Eukaryota; Metazoa; Chordata; Mammalia; Primates; Lemuridae
Description: Small nucleolar RNA SNORA51 (ENSPSMG00000010525.1)
Source: RNAcentral